RNAcentral lists this ribosomal RNA (462 nucleotides) under uncultured Anaerolineaceae bacterium. RNAcentral describes it as "bacterial SSU rRNA". It matches the Rfam family "Bacterial small subunit ribosomal RNA", at positions 906 to 1382 of the family's 1533-position model. The record is from RNAcentral. Lineage: Bacteria; Bacillati; Chloroflexota; Anaerolineae; Anaerolineales; Anaerolineaceae.
GGAAAUUGACGGGGACCCGCACAAGCAGCGGAGCGUGUGGUUUAAUUCGAUGCUACACGAAGAACCUUACCAAGGUUUGACAUGUAAGUGGUAGUGAUCUGAAAAGUGAACGACCUUCGGGAGCUUACACAGGUGCUGCAUGGCUGUCGUCAGCUCGUGUCGUGAGAUGCUCGGUUAAGUCCGCUAACGAGCGCAACCCUCACUGUGUGUUACAAGUGUCACACGGGACUGCCGGUUUUAAGCCGGAGGAAGGCGAGGAUGACGUCAAGUCAGCAUGGCCUUUAUAUCUUGGGCUACACACACGCUACAAUGGUCUGUACAAUAGGUUGCCAAGCCGCGAGGCGGAGCCAAUCCUUAAAGCAGGCCUCAGUUCAGAUUGUAGGCUGCAACUCGCCUGCAUGAAGAUGGAGUUGCUAGUAACCGCAGGUCAGCUAUACUGCGGUGAAUACGUUCCCGGGUCUU